UACGGAGGAUGCAAGCGUUAUCCGGAAUUAUUGGGCGUAAAGCGUCCGCAGGUGGUACAUCAAGUCUGCUGUCAAAGACCGGAGCUCAACUCCGGGCAGGCAGUGGAAACUGGUGAACUAGAGUACGGUAGGGGUAGAGGGAAUUCCCAGUGUAGCGGUGAAAUGCGUAGAGAUUGGGAAGAACACCAGUGGCGAAGGCGCUCUACUGGGCCGUAACUGACACUCAGGGACGAAAGCUAGGGGAGCGAAAGGG
This 253-nucleotide ribosomal RNA is filed under the name uncultured bacterium. Its description in RNAcentral is "partial 16S ribosomal RNA". It matches the Rfam family "Bacterial small subunit ribosomal RNA", at positions 524 to 776 of the family's 1533-position model. The record is from RNAcentral.